Molecule: ribosomal RNA, 253 nt
Filed under: uncultured bacterium
Lineage: Bacteria
Description: partial 16S ribosomal RNA
Rfam family: Bacterial small subunit ribosomal RNA
Source: RNAcentral
UACGUAGGGACCGAGCGUUGUCCGGAAUCAUUGGGCGUAAAGAGCGUGUAGGCGGCCACUUAAGUCCUGCGUGAAAUCUUGCGGCUCAACCGCAAGCGGUCGUGGGAAACUGGGUGGCUAGAGUGCGGGAGAGGAGAGUGGAAUUCCUGGUGUAGCGGUGGAAUGCGCAGAUAUCAGGAAGAACACCCGUGGCGAAGGCGGCUCUCUGGAACGCAACUGACGCUGAGACGCGAAAGUGUGGGGAUCAAACAGG